Molecule: ribosomal RNA, 254 nt
Filed under: uncultured bacterium
Lineage: Bacteria
Description: partial small subunit ribosomal RNA
Rfam family: Bacterial small subunit ribosomal RNA
Source: RNAcentral
AGGACGAACGCUGGCGGCGUGCUUAACACAUGCAAGUCGAGCGGAAAGGCCCUUCGGGGUACUCGAGCGGCGAACGGGUGAGUAACACGUGAGCAACCUGCCCUUAGCUCUGGGAUAGCUCCGGGAAACCGGAAUUAAUACCGGAUAUUACACCGGCUGGCAUCGGCUGGUGUGGAAAGAUUUAUCGGCUAAGGAUGGACUCGCGGCCUAUCAGCUUGUUGGUGGGGUAGAAGCCUACCAAGGCGACGACGGGU